GACGAACGCUGGCGGCGUGCUUAACACAUGCAAGUCGAACGGAAAGGCCCUGCUUUUGUGGGGUGCUCGAGUGGCGAACGGGUGAGUAACACGUGAGUAACCUGCCCUUGACUUUGGGAUAACUUCAGGAAACUCGGGCUCAUACCGGAUAGGAGCUCCUGCUGCAUGGGGGGGGUUGGUAAGUUUCGGCGGUUGGGGAUGGACUCGCGGCUUAUCAGCUUGUUGGUGGGGUAGUGGAUUACCAAGGGUUUGAAGGGUAGCCGGCCUGGGAGGUUGGCCGGCGACAAUGGGACUGAGAGACGGCGCAGACUCCUACGGGAGGCAGUAGGGGGGAAUAUUGCACAAUGGGCGGAAGCCUGAGGCGGCAACGCCGCGAUCGUGAUGACGGCUUUCGGGUUGUAAACCGCUUUCGCCUGUGACGAAGCGGGAGUGACGGUAAUGGGUAAAGAAGCACCGGCUAACUACGUG
Molecule: ribosomal RNA, 468 nt
Filed under: uncultured bacterium
Lineage: Bacteria
Description: partial 16S ribosomal RNA
Rfam family: Bacterial small subunit ribosomal RNA
Source: RNAcentral